GCUAGUGCCCCCCUGCCAGGCACUCAAUUGGACAUCCUCCAAAACUUGGUGGCUAAUACACGUCUGCCCAGGUCUGCCAUGACAUACCUGCUUGGGGUACCGGUCCUCCGCGGCCACACCCCCGGAUGGUGGAUUGCACCCAGCUGCUGCGAAGACCAGCGCCAGGGAAUGGCAGUGUGUCUGGUUGACUCAGGCUGGUCCCUCUGAGGACGGAUGUGCUGGCAGAGUGGUGGCCUCGGCCACGAAUGCACUGCUUGAUCACACGAACUUCUGACCUAUCAGCCUUGACUGUGGUGUAGGGGACCACAGUGGCCCUCACGGGUAACGGAGAAUCUGGGUUCGAUUCCGGAGAGGGAGCCUGAGAAACGGCUACCACUGCCAAGGCGGGCAGCAGGCGCGCAAAUUGCCCAAUGCCAAAGCAAACGGCGAGGCAGCAACGAUCAGCAGCAAUUCUGCCAGCACCUGUUGCUGGUGGAACUUGGAAUGGAUGCUAUCCAAACAUCGCGAUGAGUACCAACUGGAGGGCAAGUCUGGUGCCAGCAGCUGCGGUAAUUCCAGCUCCAGUGGCGUAUACUAACAUUGCUGCGGUUGAAACGUUUGUAGUCUGCCUCUGGGUGACUUGGUCUGCCAGGCGGCCCGCCUGUGGGUGAGGGGAGACCCGAGCCUGCACGAGCCAUCAAACCCUGGCAGUGAGUCCAGCACCCGCCUAUGGAUGGCCUGAGCAGCUCUUGCGCGAAGCCCCCUUCAGUGGAGGUUGAGGCAGUUGGUGCACCCAACACCUGCAUGGACAGCAAUGGGUGUGUGGCCCCGCGUCGCACAAGUUCCACCCAGUCCGCUACCAGAGCCGGCCAUCAAUGACACUAUGGAAAACUCAGUGUGCUCAACGCAUCCAGUCUUGGCUGAAUGCCUGUCCAUGGAAUGUCACAGCAUCGACCGAAGGGGCCAUGGAGUUGUGCUGGCCUUGGUGCCCAUUCUGGGCAAACGGGUGACUGUCCCCUGGUUGUGGGCCUCAAAAACCCACGUCCGGGGCAAGGGCCACGUGGACCGGUUCGCCCGGACCCCACUGGAUUCCUGCCCCAGCCAGCGGUGGCAGCAUCUAGCGGACAUGAUGGGAUCGUUCAGGGUGAAAGGUACUGCAGCGCCAGAGGUGAAAUUCUUAGACCGCUGCCAGACCAACAGCGGCGCAGGCGUUCUGCAAGGGCGUGUCCGUCGAUCAAGAGCGAGAGCCUGGGGAUCGAAGAUGAUCAGACACCGUCGUAGUCCAGGGCCGUAAACUAUGUCAGCUCGGCGACAGCUGGGUAAACUGCCAGACCCACGCUGCUGCCAUCACCCCCUGCAUCGAGAAAUCCAAGCCUUUGGAUUCCGGGGGGAGUACAGUUGCAAGGCUGAAACUUAAAGGAAUUGACGGAAUGGCACCACAAGGCGUGGAGUAUGCGGCUUAAUUUGACUCAACACGGGGAACGUUACCAGGUCAGGACGAAGCCGGGAUGGACAGAUUGAGAGCUCUUUCUUGAUCCUUCGGAUGGUGGUGCAUGGCCGCUCCUGAUUGGUGGAGUGAUUUGUCUGGUUGAUUCCGAUAACGAGUGAGACCUCCGCCUCCCACUAGCCCCUGGGCCGUACCUUGUAGGACUGGCCGUGGGUUGGCUUCGGCCCUCGCACCCCUCGGGGUGGCCCUCGAUUCACACCGUCCGAGGCCCAGGGUUUCGCUUCUCUGAGGUGCUGUGUCCGUUCCAAAGGACAUGCAUGCUAGAGCCAACAGCAGGUCUGUGAUGCUCCCAGAUGUCCUGGGCCGCACGCGCACUACAUUGACUCAGUGAGGGUGUGACCUCCGCCUCGCGCGGAGCCUGCACAGAAGUGUGUGGGAAAUCCUGCAAGCCUGAGCUGUACUGGGGAUAGAUGAUUGCAACUGUCUGCCUUGAACGAGGAAUGCCUAGUAUGCG
RNAcentral lists this ribosomal RNA (1940 nucleotides) under Euglenaria anabaena. RNAcentral's name for it is "SSU rRNA". It matches the Rfam family "Eukaryotic small subunit ribosomal RNA", at positions 123 to 1623 of the family's 1831-position model. The record is from RNAcentral. Lineage: Eukaryota; Euglenozoa; Euglenophyceae; Euglenales; Euglenaceae.